AGACCCGAAACCCGGUGAUCUAGCCAUGGGCAGGUUGAAGGUUGGGUAACACUAACUGGAGGACCGAACCGACUAAUGUUGAAAAAUUAGCGGAUGACCUGUGGCUGGGGGUGAAAGGCCAAUCAAACCGGGAGAUAGCUGGUUCUCCCCGAAAGCUAUUUAGGUAGCGCCUCGUGAAUUCAUCUCCGGGGGUAGAGCACUGUUUCGGCUAGGGGGCCAUCCCGGCUUACCAACCCGAUGCAAACUGCGAAUACCGGAGAAUGUUAUCACGGGAGACACACGGCGGGUGCUAACGUCCGUCGUGAAGAGGGAAACAACCCAGACCGCCAGCUAAGGUCCCAAAGUCAUGGUUAAGUGGGAAACGAUGUGGGAAGGCCCAGACAGCCAGGAUGUUGGCUUAGAAGCAGCCAUCAUUUAAAGAAAGCGUAAUAGCUCACUGGUCGAGUCGGCCUGCGCGGAAGAUGUAACGGGGCUAAACCAUGCACCGAAGCUGCGGCAGCGACACUCAGGUGUUGUUGGGUAGGGGAGCGUUCUGUAAGCCUGCGAAGGUGGCCUGUGAGGGUUGCUGGAGGUAUCAGAAGUGCGAAUGCUGACAUAAGUAACGAUAAAGC
This 611-nucleotide ribosomal RNA is filed under the name Salmonella enterica subsp. enterica serovar Infantis. RNAcentral describes it as "partial 23S ribosomal RNA". It matches the Rfam family "Bacterial large subunit ribosomal RNA", at positions 711 to 1318 of the family's 2925-position model. RNAcentral also lists the same sequence under 1 other name. The record is from RNAcentral. Lineage: Bacteria; Pseudomonadati; Pseudomonadota; Gammaproteobacteria; Enterobacterales; Enterobacteriaceae.